AAACACAAGGACACCAGUAUGGGUUAAGCCAGAGAGCUUCCGAAAAGGGGAAAUCCCACCUAUGUUUACCUAACCAAAUCACUCAUUUCUGCUCAAAAUAUCAAAAAGAAAUUUUACAGAAAUUCUCUUAGAUGACCUUACAUUCACAUUAUAGCAAAAAAAUGGGGAAAAAAUUCAAAGGAAAGGCAAAAAAAAAAUUUAAGAAAAAAUAUACUGAAAUUAAAGGGAAC
This 230-nucleotide long non-coding RNA is filed under the name Mytilus galloprovincialis (Mediterranean mussel). Lineage: Eukaryota; Metazoa; Mollusca; Bivalvia; Mytilida; Mytilidae. The record is from RNAcentral.